CUUUUCUCUGCAACUUUUCGACAUAAGUCUUCUCACUUUGUAUCAGGACAUUUGUCUGGUCAGAAAAAGGCCACACAAUAUGCAGAACAGACCGGGGUGUCUGCCCUACUGUCUGUGCUUCAUGAAGAAGUCUGCCUUCUGUCUGGGCAGGGUGACAUUCAACGAAAAAAGGGUGGGUUGUUGACAUUCAGAAGACCCCAGAUGACCUCAAGAUGCCCCUUCUGAAGAGGAUCCUGCGUGACCUUGAGGUGGAGAUAAAAUACUACCAGUGCUCCCGUCUGCGCACCCGGUCGGAGGUAGUGGCAGACGUUGUCACCCGACUGUUCUUCAUGAUGAAGACC
This is a long non-coding RNA of Alosa sapidissima (American shad), 341 nucleotides long. RefSeq lists it as uncharacterized. NCBI's taxonomy places the organism in Eukaryota, Metazoa, Chordata, Actinopteri, Clupeiformes, Clupeidae. The record is from RefSeq and is a predicted model, not a curated record. The transcript has 3 exons.